RNAcentral lists this transfer RNA (77 nucleotides) under Paramuricea clavata. It matches the Rfam family "tRNA". Rfam says of the family: Transfer RNA (tRNA) molecules are approximately 80 nucleotides in length. Their secondary structure includes four short double-helical elements and three loops (D, anti-codon, and T loops). Further hydrogen bonds mediate the characteristic L-shaped molecular structure. tRNAs have two regions of fundamental functional importance: the anti-codon, which is responsible for specific mRNA codon recognition, and the 3' end, to which the tRNAs corresponding amino acid is attached (by aminoacyl-tRNA synthetases). tRNAs cope with the degeneracy of the genetic code in two manners: having more than one tRNA (with a specific anti-codon) for a particular amino acid; and 'wobble' base-pairing, i.e. permitting non-standard base-pairing at the 3rd anti-codon position. The record is from Rfam by way of RNAcentral. Lineage: Eukaryota; Metazoa; Cnidaria; Anthozoa; Malacalcyonacea; Plexauridae.
GACCGCGUAGCUCAGUUGGAAGAGCCAAGAUUGGGCUAGUAUUCCAAAGGUCGUAGGUUCGAAUCCCACCGUGGCCG